Molecule: ribosomal RNA, 640 nt
Filed under: uncultured bacterium
Lineage: Bacteria
Description: bacterial SSU rRNA
Rfam family: Bacterial small subunit ribosomal RNA
Source: RNAcentral
CAGGUAGUCCACGCCCUAAACGAUGUCGAUUUGCUGUUGGGCAGCAUGACUGCUUAGUAGCGAAGCUAACGCGUGAAAUCGACCGCCUGGGGAGUACGGUCGCAAGAUUAAAACUCAAAGGAAUUGACGGGGACCCGCACAAGCGGUGGAUGAUGUGGAUUAAUUCGAUGCAACGCGAAGAACCUUACCUGGUCUUGACAUGUACGGAACCCUCCAGAGACGGAGGAGUGCCUUCGGGAGCCGUAACACAGGUGCUGCAUGGCUGUCGUCAGCUCGUGUCGUGAGAUGUUGGGUUAAGUCCCGCAACGAGCGCAACCCUUGUCAUUAGUUGCCAUCAUUAAGUUGGGCACUCUAAUGAGACUGCCGGUGACAAGCCGGAGGAAGGUGGGGAUGACGUCAAGUCCUCAUGGCCCUUAUGACCAGGGCUUCACACGUCAUACAAUGGUCGGUACAGAGGGUAGCCAAGCCGCGAGGCGGAGCCAAUCUCACAAAACCGAUCGUAGCCCGGAUUGCACUCUGCAACUCGAGNGCAUGAAGUCGGAAUCGCUAGUAAUCGCAGGUCAGCAUACUGCGGUGAAUACGUUCCCGGGUCUUGUACACACCNCCCGUCACACCAUGGGAGUGGGGGAUACCAGAANUA